CAACUUUUAUAGGAUAGAAGUAAUCCGUUGGUCUUAGGAACCAAAAAAUUGGUGCAACUCCA
This 62-nucleotide transfer RNA is filed under the name Canis lupus familiaris (dog). Its description in RNAcentral is "tRNA-Leu". It matches the Rfam family "tRNA", at positions 1 to 61 of the family's 71-position model. From Rfam's summary of the family: Transfer RNA (tRNA) molecules are approximately 80 nucleotides in length. Lineage: Eukaryota; Metazoa; Chordata; Mammalia; Carnivora; Canidae. The record is from RNAcentral.